CCUACGGGAUGCAGCAGUGAGGAAUAUUGGUCAAUGUACGAGAGUCUGAACCAGCCAAGUAGCGUGAAGGAUGACUGCCCUAUGGGUUGUAAACUUCUUUUAUAUGGGAAUAAAACAGGGUAUGCAUACCCUCUUGUAUGUACCAUAUGAAUAAGGCUCGGCUAACUCCGUGCCAGCAGCCGCGGUAAUACGGAGGAUCCGAGCGUUAGCCGGAUUUAUUGGGUUUAAAGGGAGCGUAGGUGGAUUGUUAAGUCAGUUGUGAAAGUUUGCGGCUCAACCGUAAAAUUGCAGUUGAAACUGGCAGUCGUGAGUACAGUAGAGGUGGGCGGAAUUCGUGGUGUAGCGGUGAAAUGCUGAGAUAUCACGAAGAACUCCGAUUGCGAAGGCAGCUCACUGGACUGCAACUGACACUGAUGCUCGAAAGUGUGGGUAUCAAACAGGAUUAGAUACCCUUGUAGUC
This 460-nucleotide ribosomal RNA is filed under the name uncultured bacterium. RNAcentral's name for it is "partial 16S ribosomal RNA". It matches the Rfam family "Bacterial small subunit ribosomal RNA", at positions 338 to 795 of the family's 1533-position model. The record is from RNAcentral.